RNAcentral lists this transfer RNA (84 nucleotides) under Elusimicrobiota bacterium. Its description in RNAcentral is "Elusimicrobia bacterium (microbial mat metagenome) tRNA-Leu". It matches the Rfam family "tRNA". From Rfam's summary of the family: Transfer RNA (tRNA) molecules are approximately 80 nucleotides in length. Their secondary structure includes four short double-helical elements and three loops (D, anti-codon, and T loops). Further hydrogen bonds mediate the characteristic L-shaped molecular structure. tRNAs have two regions of fundamental functional importance: the anti-codon, which is responsible for specific mRNA codon recognition, and the 3' end, to which the tRNAs corresponding amino acid is attached (by aminoacyl-tRNA synthetases). tRNAs cope with the degeneracy of the genetic code in two manners: having more than one tRNA (with a specific anti-codon) for a particular amino acid; and 'wobble' base-pairing, i.e. permitting non-standard base-pairing at the 3rd anti-codon position. Lineage: Bacteria; Pseudomonadati; Elusimicrobiota. The record is from RNAcentral.
GCCCCUGUGGCGGAACUGGCAGACGCGGACGACUCAAAAUCGUCUGGCCUUUGGGUCUUGGAGGUUCAAAUCCUCUCAGGGGCA